GCAUGCGGCUCCUAUACAUGCAGUCGAGCGCAGGAAGCCGUCUGAACCCUUCGGGGGGACGACGGUGGAAUGAGCGGCGGACGGGUGAGUAACACGUAAAGAACCUGCCCAUAGGUCUGGGAUAACCACGAGAAAUCGGGGCUAAUACCGGAUGUGUCAUCGGACCGCAUGGUCCGCUGAUGAAAGGCGCUCCGGCGUCGCCCAUGGAUGGCUUUGCGGUGCAUUAGCUAGUUGGUGGGGUAACGGCCCACCAAGGCGACGAUGCAUAGCCGACCUGAGAGGGUGAUCGGCCACACUGGGACUGAGACACGGCCCAGACUCCUACGGGAGGCAGCAGUAGGGAAUCUUCCACAAUGGACGAAAGUCUGAUGGAGCAACGCCGCGUGAACGAUGAAGGCUUUCGGGUCGUAAAGUUCUGUUGUAAGGGAAGAACAAGUGCCGCAGGCAAUGGCGGCACCUUGACGGUACCUUGCGAGAAAGCCACGGCUAACUACGUGCCAGCAGCCGCGGUAAUACGUAGGUGGCAAGCGUUGUCCGGAAUUAUUGGGCGUAAAGCGCGCGCAGGCGGCCUCUUAAGUCUGAUGUGAAAGCCCCCGGCUCAACCGGGGAGGGCCAUUGGAAACUGGGAGGCUUGAGUAUAGGAGAGAAGAGUGGAAUUCCACGUGUAGCGGUGAAAUGCGUAGAGAUGUGGAGGAACACCAGUGGCGAAGGCGACUCUUUGGCCUAUAACUGACGCUGAGGCGCGAAAGCGUGGGGAGCAAACAGGAUUAGAUACCCUGGUAGUCCACGCCGUAAACGAUGAGUGCUAGGUGUUGGAGGGUUUCCGCCCUUCAGUGCUGAAGCUAACGCAUUAAGCACUCCGCCUGGGGGAGUACGGUCGCAAGGCUGAAACUCAAAGGAUUGACGGGGACCCGCACAGCGGUGGAGCAUGGUGGUUUAAUUCGAGCACGCGAGACCUUACCACUCUUGACAUCCCCCUGACGGUACGAGAUGUAACUUCCCUCGGGGCAAGGUGACAGGUGUGCAUGAUGUCGUCAGCUAUGUCCUGAGAUGUGGUUAGUCCGGCAACGAGCGCUAUCAUGUCCUACUUGGCAGCAUAGUGGGCGUCUAGCGAACUGCGGUCAAUCGAGCAGUGGUAUGACGUCGAAGCAUUCAAUGC
This 1159-nucleotide ribosomal RNA is filed under the name Exiguobacterium profundum. RNAcentral describes it as "bacterial SSU rRNA". It matches the Rfam family "Bacterial small subunit ribosomal RNA", at positions 35 to 1199 of the family's 1533-position model. Lineage: Bacteria; Bacillati; Bacillota; Bacilli; Caryophanales. The record is from RNAcentral.